GUUCUCUCAUCUCGUUGCACUUUUCAUCGCUGUUUGCGUCUCUGGUGGCUCUCCGUUUCACAUAUAUGACACUCAAGGUUUGGAUAGUGUUUUCUUUCGUGUAUGUUUUGUGGGCUUGAAAGAUUAUUUCUUGUCUCAAACUUGAGCUCUGAUUUCUCUGUGGUUGGUUUGCAUUCUCCCUCCUUUAUGUAGCUUUUCUUCUUCUCCUACUUCAUUUGUUAUAGGUGUGUGGAGUUAGUCUCUUAGUGUUUUGGUCUCUUCUAUUCAGAGCUUUGUGGUUCUUUAUUGGCAUGAGCUCCUUGUAUGUGGUUGUUUUGUUUGUGAGGUGCUUCAUACCUUUUUAUCUGGUGGUUGUGUAUUAUGCAUGUGUUUUCAUGCUUGUGGUGACAUUGGUCCGGUGAUUAUUCUUUCUGUGAUCUUUUUUUGGUGUUUUGGAUUGGUGCUUGAUCGCGUUCAUUUGUGUUCCAAACCUUUAUUGAGUAAGUGUUACUAUAGUAUUCUAUUUUUUUUUUUGUGAUUGUGGAGAUUUAAGUUUAGAUUAUGUGUCUUACUCUAGUUUUUUUAUAGUUUAGUUAUUUUAUGAUUUUUAAUAGUAAAAUAAAUUAUAAUUUGUAAAUAAAAUAAUAGAAAAUAGUAAAAAAUAAUAAAAUAGUAAAAAUUUAUGUUAUUUUUAGUUGUGAAUAAAUAAAAUAUUUAAAAUCUAUUUUUAUUUUUUCUUUAUUCAUCUCUAAUUUUAUUGACUAAUAAAAUAUAUUAUAAAAC
This 762-nucleotide long non-coding RNA is filed under the name Brassica napus (rape). Its description in RNAcentral is "long non-coding RNA (BNAP_LNC022514)". Lineage: Eukaryota; Viridiplantae; Streptophyta; Magnoliopsida; Brassicales; Brassicaceae. The record is from RNAcentral.